GACGAACGCUGGCGGCGUGCUUAACACAUGCAAGUCGAACGGAAAGGCCUCUUUCGGGGGGUACUCGAGUGGCGAACGGGUGAGUAACACGUGAGUAACCUGCCCUUGACUUUGGGAUAACUUCAGGAAACUGGGGCUAAUACCGGAUAGGAGCUCCUGCUGCAUGGUGGGGGUUGGAAAGUUUCGGCGGUUGGGGAUGGACUCGCGGCUUAUCAGCUUGUUGGUGGGGUAGUGGCUUACCAAGGCUUUGACGGGUAGCCGGCCGGAGAGGGUGACCGGCCACAUUGGGACUGAGAUACGGCCCAGACUCCUACGGGAGGCAGCAGGGGGGAAUAUUGCACAAUGGGUGGAAGCCUGAUGCAGCAACGCCGUGUGCGGGAUGACGGCCUUCGGGUUGUAAACCGCUUUCGCUCAUGACGAAGCUUUGUGUGACGGUAGUGGGUAAAGAAGCACCGGCUAACUACGUG
RNAcentral lists this ribosomal RNA (467 nucleotides) under uncultured bacterium. RNAcentral's name for it is "partial 16S ribosomal RNA". It matches the Rfam family "Bacterial small subunit ribosomal RNA", at positions 28 to 507 of the family's 1533-position model. The record is from RNAcentral.